GAUGAACGCUGGCGGCGUGCCUAAUACAUGCAAGUCGAGCGAACAGACGAGGAGCUUGCUCCUCUGACGUUAGCGGCGGACGGGUGAGUAACACGUGGAUCACCUACCUAAAAGACUGGGAUAACUUCGGGAAACCGGAGCUAAUACCGGAUAACAUCUUGAACCGCAUGGUUCAACAGUGAAAGACGGUCUUGCUGUCACUUCUAGAUGGUUCCGCGCCGCAUUAGCUAGUUGGUAAGGUAACGGCUUACCAAGGCAACGAUGCGUAGCCGACCUGAGAGGGUGAUCGGCCACCCUGGAACUGAGACACGGUCCAGACGCCUACGGGACGCAGCAGUAGGGAAUCGUCCGCAGUGGGCGAAAGCCUUACGGAGCAACGCCGCGUGAGUGAAGAAGGUCUUCGGAUCGUAAAACUCGGUUAUUAGGGAAGAACAAAUGUGUAAGUAACUAUGCACGGCUUGACGGUAACUAAUCAGAAAGCCACGGCUAACUACGUG
Molecule: ribosomal RNA, 497 nt
Filed under: uncultured bacterium
Lineage: Bacteria
Description: partial 16S ribosomal RNA
Rfam family: Bacterial small subunit ribosomal RNA
Source: RNAcentral